This 800-nucleotide ribosomal RNA is filed under the name uncultured bacterium. RNAcentral's name for it is "bacterial SSU rRNA". It matches the Rfam family "Bacterial small subunit ribosomal RNA", at positions 8 to 765 of the family's 1533-position model. The record is from RNAcentral.
AGAGUUUGAUCCUGGCUCAGGAUGAACGCUGGCGGCAUGCCUAAGACAUGCAAGUCGAACGAAGUGACCCAUGGAAGAAUGCGUGCUUGCACAAAUUUAGAAAUGGAUUUCCACUUAGUGGCAGACGGGUGAGUAACACGUGGGUAAUCUACCUCAUGGUUUGGGACAACAGUUAGAAAUGACUGCUAAUACCGAAUGAUUCACUUUUAGAUAACUAAGAGUGCUAAAAGGAGCUUUUGCUUCGCCUUGAGAUGAGCUUGCGGUGUAUUAACUAGUUGGUGGGGUAAUGGCUUACCAAGGUAGCGAUGCAUAGCCGAGCGGAGAGGCUGAUCGGCCACACUGGAACUGAGAUACGGUCCAGACUCCUACGGGAGGCAGCAGUUAGGAAUAUUCGUCAAUGGGGGAAACCCUGAACGAGCAAUGCCGCGUGAGUGAUGACGGUCUUUAUGAUUGUAAAACUCUGUUGUAAAGGAAGAAUCACUAUUAUAGGAAAUGAUAAUAGUUUGACGGUACUUUACCAGAAAGCCCCGGCUAACUACGUGCCAGCAGCCGCGGUAAUACGUAGGGGGCGAGCGUUAUCCGGAUUUAUUGGGCGUAAAGAGUUCGUAGGUGGUUUGUUAAGUUUAAGAUUAAAGCCCGAGGCUCAACCUCGGUUCGUCUUAAAAACUGGCAGACUUGAGUGUGGUAGAGGCAAGUGGAAUUUCUAGUGUAGCGGUUAAAUGCGUAGAUAUUAGAAAGGAACACCAGUGGCGAACGCGGCUUGCUGGGCCAUUACUGACGCUGAGGAACGAAAGCGUGGG